This 191-nucleotide non-coding RNA is filed under the name Pseudomonadota bacterium. RNAcentral's name for it is "Proteobacteria bacterium 6S RNA". It matches the Rfam family "6S / SsrS RNA". From Rfam's summary of the family: E. coli 6S RNA was the first non coding RNA to be sequenced, but its function was unknown until recently. It consists of 184 nucleotides that fold into an extended hairpin structure with a large single-stranded internal bulge. The record is from RNAcentral. Lineage: Bacteria; Pseudomonadati; Pseudomonadota.
CGCGAUCUGCCCGGCGCGUCAGGGGAGACGACGCUCGACCCGGUAAGGACGAAUCGGGAUCCGUUCCUGGUGCAGCCGUAGUCGGAAGCCUCGGGCCCGACGGCCGACGAGGAACCACCGCUGCUCGACACGGAGCCCACCUGGCAUUGCCAGGGAUCGGCCUUCUCCCCAACGGCCAUGGCGGAUCGCUU